This 16168-nucleotide long non-coding RNA is filed under the name Homo sapiens (human). RNAcentral describes it as "non-protein coding RAB11B-AS1:6". Lineage: Eukaryota; Metazoa; Chordata; Mammalia; Primates; Hominidae. The record is from RNAcentral.
CUCUCCGGGCCUCCGGCUCCGUAUAGCCGCGCAUCCUAGCCCGAAGCUGAUGCUGCCCGGUCGGCUCCGGCCUUCCCGGCUGCCUGACCCGCCGGGCCCCAAGCCCCGGGCUCCGGCCUGGGCCCAGCGGCCUGGAGCGCGGCCUUGGCCCGUCUGCCCGCCGCCUCGCCGCCACGACUUCGCCCGUCUGUGCCCCACCGGCCGCACCUUUGAAUAGGUAGUCGUACUCGUCGUCCCGGGUCCCCAUUGUCCUGGCGCUUCCGGCGGGAUCGGCGACUCCGCAGCCCCACCACAAACACCCGACGGGGGCGGAGCCGGCGCCGCGCAGAGCGGCGGUUGAAUGGCCUAUCAGCGGCGAGUGGAGUAGCGACGGGCACCCAGCGAAGCCAAUCAGAGAUGGAAGUAGUGCUCUGAGGGUGGGCGCCGCUUGGUACCACCCUCCUCGCCCUCGGUGUCCUGGAGAAAGGCGGAAGGAAUGCGGACCUUUUUGAAGUGACGGACGCGCCAGCCUAUCAGGGGCGAGCUCAAGAGGGCGGGGCGGAAGACUGCAGGAAUGAAAUGGAUUGACAGACCAAAUAACUAAUGAGAGGCUUGAUUGAGAACCUACCCGACUAUCAGAGGACCUGUCCGGGAAGAGAAAUGGGGCUACGUCCAGACAGAAUCUCGCUCUGUUGCCUGGGCUGGAGUGCAGUGGCACUGUAUCCGGAAUUGGGGGGUUCUUGGUCUCACUGACUUCAAGAAUGAAGCCAUGGACCCUUGCGGUAAGUGUUCCAGCUCUUAAGGUGGCGCGUCUGGAGUUUGUUUCUUCUGAUGUUCAGGUGUGUUCAGCGUUUCUUCCUUCUGGUGGGUUCAUGGUUUCACUGGCUCAGGAGUGAAGCUGCAGACCUUCGCAGUGAGUGUUACAGCUCAUAAAAGCAGUGGGGACCCAAAGAGUGAGCAGUACAAGAUUUAUUGCAAAGAGCAAAAGAACAAAGCUUCCACAGUGUGGAAGGGGACCCAAGUGGGUUGCCACUGCUGGCUCGGGCAGCCUGCUUUUAUUCUCUUAUCUGGCCCCACCCACAUCCUGCUGAUUGGUAGAGCCCACUGGUCUGUUUUGACAGGGCGCUGAUUGGUGCGUUUACAAUUCCUGAGCUAGACACAAAGGUUCUCCACAUCCCCACCAGAUUAACUAGAUACAGAGUGUCAACACAAAGGUUCUCCAAGGCCCCACCACAGUAGCUAGAUACAGAGUGUCGAUUGGUGCAUUCACAAACCCUGAGCUAGACACAGGGUGCUGAUUGGUGUGUUUACAAACCUUGAGCUAGAUACAGAGUGCCGAUUGGUGUAUUUACAAUCCCUGAGCUAGACAUAAAGGUUCUCCAAGGCCCCACCAGAGUAGCUAGAUACAGAGUGUUCAUUGGUGCAUUCACAAACCCUGAGCUAGACAUAGGGUGAUGAUUGGUGUAUUUACAAUCCCUGAGCUAGACAAAGGUUCUCCACGUCCCCACCAGACUCAGGAGCCCAGCUAGCUUCACCCAGUGGAUCCUGCACCGGGGCUGCAGGUGGAGCUGCCUGCCAGUCCCACGCCGUGCGCCUGCACUCCUCAGCCCUUGGGUGGUGGAUGGGACUGGGCACCAUGGAGCAUGGGGCAGUGCUCGUCAGGGAGGCGCGGGCCGCACAGGAGCCCAUGGAGGGGGUGGGAGGCUCAGGCAUGGCGGGCUGCAGGUCCCGAUCCCUGCCCCGCGGGAAGGCAGCUAAGGCCUGGUGAGAAAUCAAGCGCAGCGCCGGUGCGCUGGCACUGCUGGGGGACCCAGUACACCCUCCGCAGCCGCUGUCCGGCCCGGGUGCUAAGCCCCUCAUUGCCCGGGGCCAGCAGGGCCGGACGGCUGCUCUGAGUGCAGGGUCCGCCAAGCCCACGCCCACCCGGAACUCCAGCUGGCCCACAAGCACCGCGCGCAGCCCCGAUUCCGGCUCGCGCCUCUCCCUCCACACUUCCCUGCAAGCUGAGGGAGCCAGCUCCGGCCUUGGCCAGCCCAGAAAGGGGCUCCCACAGUGCAGCGGUGGGCUGAAGGGCUCCUGAAGUGCCGCCACAGUGGGAGCCCAGGCAGAGGAGUCGCAGAGAGUGAGCGAGGGCUGUGAGGACUGCCAGCACGCUGUCACCUCUCAGCGCCAUCUCGGCUCACUGCAACCUCCACCUCCUGGGUUCAAGCAAUUCUCCGGCCUCAGCCUCCUGAGUAGCUGGGAUUAUAGGUGCGCAUCACUAUGCCCAGCUAAUUUUUGUAUUUUUAGUAGAAAUGAGGUUUCACCACAUUGGCCAGGCCAGACCAGCCUGGACAAUAGAGUGAGACCCUAUAUAGGGAUCUCACUAUAUAGAGCAAUACAGCGGGAUCACCCGACCUCGGGUGAUCCGCUCGUUGGCCUCCCAAAGUGCUAGUGUUACAAGUGUGAGCCAAUGCGCCCAGCCCUAUUCUUUUUUUUUUUUUUUUUUUUUUUGAAAUCAAGUCUUGCUCUGUCACCCAGGCUGGAGUGCAGUGGCAUGAUCUCUGCUCACCGCAACCUCCACCUCCCGAGUUCAAGUGAUUCUCCUGCCUCAGCCUCCUGAGUAGCUGGGAUUACAGGCACCCGCCACCACACCCGGCUAAUUUUUGUAUUUUUAGUAGAGACGGGGUUUCACCAUGUUGGUCAGGCGGGCCUGGAACUCGUAAUGUCAGAUGAUCCACCUGCCUCGGCCUCCUAAAGUGCUGGGAUUACAGGCAUGAGCGACCACGCCAUCUUUUUUUUUUUUUUUUAACAAAACACAGAUGUAGAAUUAGAGCCUUCAGGGGUGGGUGCAGUGGCGCUCACACCUUUAAUCCCAUCACUUUGUGAAGCCAAGGCAGGAGGAUCCCUUGAGUCUCGGUGUUUGAGACCAGCCUGGACAAUAGAAUGAGACCCUGCCUCUACGAAAAAAAAAUUAUUUUUGUUUUGAGAUGGAGUCUUGCUCUGUUGCCCAGGCUGGAGUGCAGUGGCGCAAUCUCGGCUUAUUUGCAGCCUCUGCCUCCUUGGCUCAAGUGAUUCUUCUGCGUCAGCCUCUAGAGUAGCUGGGACUACAGACGUGCACCACCAUGCUCGGCUAAUUUUUGUAUUUUUUUGUAGAGAUGGGGGUUCCACCAUGUUGGCCCGGCUGGUCUCGAACUGCUGACCUCAAGUGACCUGCCUGUCUCGGCCUCACAAAUGGCUGGGAUUACAGGCACGAGACACCGUGCCUGGCCCUGGGAACAUGUUUACAUGGACUUUGUUCACUUUUUAAAACAAACUGAGGGUAACUUACUAGAUCUGUGAACUAAAGAAAGAGAAAAAAAAGAAAGAAAACAAACAAGAACAAAGAACAAAGUGUUCUGAGGUUGCUUUUAUUCCAAGAACUCUGUGAGCUCCGCCCAGAUACCAUUGGCGCCUGCUUGUGUCCCCAGGGGACCUACACACAACAGCACCAGCACCAUGAGGGCGCUCUCGACCCACACAAGCCCUGGUCCCCGUCAGUCAAUGUGACUGAGUCCGCCAUUGAGGCCAGUCUGGCUGGCCCCAAGUGGUCCCUCUGAGUCCCCAACUCCCUGGCCAGCAAGGAGUGAAGCUCCAUGCCCCUUGGUCCACGCCUCUAGAGUCUGAGCAUAUCCUGCAGCCUCGAUCUCAGGAGGCAACGCAUGCAGCCCCCCUGCACUCAGAAAGGGGGCUUCUCCAGUCGUGGUCUUCUUCUCUGUCCACAAGUUUCCAGAUGGCCCCUCCUUGGAGCCCCUGCCCAGGCAGGGAACGGCCACAUCCUCGGGCAGAGCCAAGAGUCACCGUCUUUCGUGGGCCUGGGACCAGGCCCAGCCAGGACGCUAGGAGGCUGCCUCUGCUGCCAUGGGCUGGAUCAACAUGGUGGUGGCCUGCAGCGGGUAGUAGCGGCCCCGCCAGGUCUUCCAGAAGAUUCCCUUCUUAAGCUUCUGCCGCUGCUGUGGGAUGGAGCGGAAGUACUGGCCGUUGAGGUUGGAAUGGCUGCAGGUGCCAAACCACCAGCCUCCUGCCGGGGUCAGGGGAGAGGGAACAUGGUCAGGUCUUUGAGCCACCGAUGGGGCUGAAAGGAGAUAGGGAUAGGGUUGAGGAUGAGGCAGGUUGGGGACCAGGCUGGGCUUUGGACUUGACUUUUUUUUUUUUGAGAUUGAGUCUUACUCUGUCACCCAGGCUGGAGUGCAGUGGUGCGAUCUCAGCUCACUGCAACCUCCGUCUCUCAGGUUUAAGUGAUUCUCCUCCCUCAGCCUCCCGAGUAGCUGGGAUUACAGGCGCCUGCCACCACACCUGGCUAAUUUUUGGUCUUUUUUUUUGAGACUGAGUCUCACUCUAUCUCCCAGGCUGGAGUGCAGUGGCACAAUCUCGGCUCACUGCACCUCUGCCUCCCAGGUUCAAGGGAUUCUCAUGCCUCAGCCUCCUGAGUAGCCGGGAUUACAGGCACCCGCCACCACGCCUGGCUAGUUUUUGUAUUUUUAGUAGUGAGGGGGUUUCACCAUGUUGGCCAGGUUGGUCUCAAACUCCUUACCUCAUGUGAUCCACCCUCCUCAGCCUCCCAAAGUGCUGGGAUUACAGGUAUGACCCACUGCGCCUGGCCUAAUUUUUGUAUUUUUAGUAGAGACAGGGUUUCACCAUGUUGGCCAGGCUAGUUUUGAACUCCUGACCUCAGGUGAUCCACCCACCUCGGCCUCCCAAAGUGCUGGGAUUACAGGUGUGAGCCCCCACACCCGGCCUUAUUUUUAAGUUUAAAAACAAUUUUUUUUGAGACAGGGCCUGGCUCCAUUGCCCAGGCUGGAGUGCAGUGGUGUGGUGAUGGCUCAAUGCAGCGUCAACCUUACGGGCUCAAGUGAUUCUUGUACCUGGGCCUCCCAAGUAGCUGGGACCACAGGUGUGAGCCACCAUGCCUGCAUUUUUUCUUUUUCUUUUGAGGCAGGGGUCUCACUCUGUCACCCAGGCUUGAGUGCAGUGGCGCAGUCUCAGCUCACUGCAGCCUUAUCUCCUAGGCUCAAGAGAUCCUCCCAACUCAGCCUCCCAAGUAGAUGGGAACACAGGCAGGCACCACCAUGCCCAGCUAGUUUUUUGUAUUUUUAAUUGAGACAGGAUUUCGCCCUGUUGCUCAGAUUGGUCUCCUGGGCUCAAGUGAUCCACUCGCUUCAGCCUCCCAAAGUGCUGGGAUUGCAAGUGUGAGCCACCGUGCCUAAUUUUUUUUUUUUUUUGAGAAUUGCUUGAACCCGGGAGGUGGAGGUUGCAGUGAGCCGAGAUCGCACCACUGCACUCCAGCUUAGGCAACAGAGUGAGACCCUGUUUCAAAAAAAAAAAAAAAAAAAGAAUCCUGUGGAGCACCAUUAUAAAGAUGUUUGUGGCCGGGUAUUGUGGCUCACGCCUGUAAUCCCAACACUUUGGGAGGCCGAGGUGGGCAGAUCACUUGAGGUCAGGAGUUCAAGACCACCCUGGCCAACAUGGUGAAACCCCGUCUCUACUAAAAAUACAAAACAAUUAUCUGUGCAUGGUGGCGGGAACCUGUAAUCCCAGCUACUCAGGAGGCUGAGGCAGGAGAAUCACUUGAACCCAGGAGGCGGAGGCUGCAGUGAGCCAAGAUCACGUCACUUGCACUCCAGCCUGGGAGACACAGCGGGACUCUGUCUCAAAAAAUAAAUAAGUAGGCCGGGCGCGGUGGCUCACGCCUGUAAUCCCAGCACUUUGGGAGGCUGAGGCAGGCAGAUCACGAGGUCAGGAGAUCGAGACCAUCCUGGCUAACACGGUGAAACCCCAUCUCUACUAAAAAUACAAAAAAAUUAGCCAGGCGUGGUGGUGGGCACCUAUAGUCCCAGCUACUCGGGAGGCUGAGGCAGGAGAAUGGUGUGAACUCAGGAGGUGGAGCUUGCAGUGAGCCAAGAUCGUGCCACAAAGCACUCCAGCCUGGGUGACAAAGUGAGACUCCGUCUCAAAAAAUAAAUACAUAAAUAAAUAAAUAAACAAACACAUAAGUAAAUAAAAGUAAAGACGGUCAAGACCCUUUUCAGGAUGGGAAAACUGAGGCCAGAUAGGCUAAGUUAGUGGCCCAAUCACACACACGGCAUGUAAGGAAGAGGUGGGGGCAGGAAACAGAUGCAAUGUGGGGUUGAAGGCAGGACAGAGCAGCAGAAAGAUAAGGAGGGAAGCUGCUGGCUGGGUGUGGCAUGGCAGGGCCUGCUCACCAGAGAGGCUCUUGGCGCAGUUCUUGUCCCUGCGGAGGUCGUGAUCCUGGUCCCAAGUGGAGAAGGGUACGGAGAGGCCGCUGGGUGGGACGGUGGUGGCGCCCAGCUGGCCGGCCACGGGUGCAGUGAGCUGCAGGCUAUAGGCCGUGUCCUCGCCACCCAGGUGCACGGAGAACUGCAGCAACUCGGCGUUGCCAUCCCAGUCCCGCAGCUGCACGGCCAGGCGGCUGUUGCGGUCCCCCGUGAUGCUAUGCACCUUCUCCAGACCCAGCCAGAACUCGCCUGGAGUGGGAGAGGCCACUCCAUGAGGCAGGGCCACUUCUGAGGGUCCCUCUUCCUCCCCUGCCUCUGUCCCCACUAGAAACACCUACCGUGGGGAUCCCCAAACCCCGCCUUGUAGGCUUCCCAGGGCCGGUUGAAGUCCACUGAGCCAUCGUGGCGCCUCUGAAUUACUGUCCAGCCUCCAUCUGCCCAGAAAGGUACAAGGUCACCAGGAAGUCCCUCUUCACAGACGACCCCACUCCCUCAUCUGGCUGCCAAGCACCAAACCCCCUCCAAACCCAGGAAGACAGCAGCUCCCUCACUCAUCCCUGGAGGACUCGAGGAGGGUGGGUCAGAGGGAGGAAUAUUAUGGGCUGGCCUUGGGAAGAUCUUUGUCCCAAGAACCCAGCAGGGACUGAGUGUGGGAGGGAGUAGGCAGUGGAAAUCUGCAAAGCCUCUCUGGGCCAGCUGAACUGGGUAAAACCCCGUGUUGUAACCUCUUGUAAUGGAAAGGACUUCUCAGUGGAAAAAAAAGCUUUCUUUUUUUUUUUUUUUUUUUUUAGAGAUGGAGUCUCACUCUGUUGCCCAGGCUGGAUCGCAGUGCCGCAAUCUCAGCUCACUGCAACCUCUGCCUUCGGGGCUCAAGCGAUUCUUGUGCUUCAGCCCCACAAGCAGCUGGAAUCACAGGCACGCCCGGCUAAUGUUUAUGUUGGUAGAGAUAGGGUUUCACCAUGUUGGCCAGGCUGGUCUUGAACUUCUGACCUCAAGUGAUUUGCCCGCCUCAGCCUCCCAAAGUGCUGGCAUUUCAGGUGUAAGCCACCGUGCUCAGCCUUUGUUUUUUUUUAGAAACGAGGUUUUGUUGUGUUGCCCAGGUUGGAGUGCGGUGGCUAUUCACAGGUGUGAUCACGGCUCACGGCAGCCUUUAACUCCUGGGCUGAAGUGACCCUCCUGCCUUGGCCUCCCGAGUAGCUGGGACUACAGGCAUGUGCCACCAUGCCCAGCAAGGGCUGAAUUUUAUUUUAUUUUAUUUUAUUUUCUCUUUUUUAUUUUUUUGAUGGGGGGACGGAGUCUCGCUCUGUCGCCCAGGCUGGAGUGCGGUGGCGUCAUCUCAGCUCACUGCAACCUCUGCCUCCCAGGUUCAAGAGAUUCUCCUGCCUCAGCCACCUGAGUAGCUGGGAUUACAGGUGCACACCACCAUGCCCGGCUAAUUUUUGUAUUUUUAGUAGAGACGGGGUUUCACCAUGUUGGUCAGGCUGGUCUCGAACUCCUGACCUCGUGAUCUGUCUGCCUCAACCUCCCAAAGUGCUGGGAUUACAGGUGUGAGCCACUGCACUUGGCCUUUUUUUUUACUUUUACAAAAUUUUUUGUAAAGAUGAGCUCUCACUAUGUUGUCCAGGCUGGUCUCGAACUUCUGGGCUCAAGUGAUCCUCAUGAUAGGCCUCCCAAAGUGUCGGGAUUACAGAUAUGAGCCACUACACCCAGACAAGGGCUGCAUUUUAAAGAAAAGAGGCCAGGAGCAGUGGCUAAUGCCUAUAAUCCCAGCAUUUUGGGAGGCCAAAGUCGGCAAAUCAUUUGAGGUCAGGAGUUUGAGACCAGCCAGACCAACAUGGUGAAACCCAGUCUCUACUAAAAAUACAAAAAUUAGCUGGGUGUGGUUGCUCGCACCUGUAGUCUCAGCUACUGGGGAGGCUGACGCUGGAGAAUUGCUUGAACCCGGGAGGCGGAGGUUUCAGUGAGCUGAGAUCGUGGCAUUGCACUCCAGCUCCAAGAGCAAAACUCCAUCUCAAAAAAAAAAAAAAAAAAAAAGACCAGCUUGGGCAACAUAGCAAGACCCUGCCUUUAAUUUUUUUGUUUUGUUUUGUUUUCAAUUUAAAGAAAGACAACAGGGCCUAUGGGGAGAGGGGCCCCUGGUGGACUAACACACCCUACCUGAGGUCAUCUUGCAGUUCACCAAAAAUGGCGGAGACCCCUGAGGCUGGAUUUCAAAUAGUCCACUCUGCCUCUCCCCAACCUGGAACAGCUCCUGGCAAUCCCUGGGCAGCCCUGAAGGGAGAUAAAGUGGAGACUUGAAACAGGAGGGCAGCCCCUGGGGGGGGUCUCAGGAGCCAGGCAUAUCUGGGGGCUUAACAGUGGAUGACCAGGGAAGUAAAAGGCAAAUCUUAUCUCAUGACCACCUCUCUGCCAUCUGCCUAACCUCUUCCAUGGCUCCCUAUGUCCUUCCUCAGCAUGGUCCACAAGGCACCUGGAGGACCAGCCCCCGUGCCCAUCCUCCUCCUGCCAUGCUGUACCCACACCCUCUCUGGCACACAGGCUUUCUUCCCACCCUUGUACCACACACCGUCCUGCCACAGGGACUUUGCACAUGCUGUUCCCCCUGCCUGGGACUCUCUUUUUUUGUUUUGUUUUUUGAUACGGAGUCUCGCUCUGUCGCCAGGCUGGAGUGCAGUGGCGCAAUCUUGGCUCACUGCAACCUCCGCCUCCCAGGUUCAAGCAAUUCUGCCGCAGCCUCCGGAGCAGCUGGGACUACAGGCAUGUGCCACCACGCCCGACUAGUUUUUGCAUUAUUUGUAGAGACGGGGGUUUCACCAUGUUGGCCAGACUGGUCUCGAUCUCCUGACCUCGUGAUCCGCCAGCCUUGGCCUCCCAAAGUGCUGGGAUUACAGGUGUGAACCACUGCGCCCGGCGGGACUCUCUUUCCUCACUUCUCUCUCUGGGUCCCAGCUUCUGGAAGGACACCCUGCCUUGCCUCACCCCCAGACCAGGCCAGAACACCCCAAAUGGGAAUUGAGCAAGGACUUCCCACUCCUGGACACUGAGGUCAUCUAAUGGUCUCUCCUCUGACUCAAUGGAGGCUCCAUGAGGCUGGGGACAAGGAGCAGCUCUGCCCACAGCCUGGCACCAGCAUCCACGCAGGCCCCAGCGCAUAGCAGCUGCUCAAUAAAGACUUGAGGAAUGGGCCGGGCGCAGUGGUUCAUGCCUGUAAUCCAGCACUUUGGGAGGCGGGCGGAUCGGUCAGGAGUUUGAGACCAGCCUGGUCAACAUGGCCAAACCCCAUCUCUAGUAAAACAUACAAAGAUUAGCUGGGUGUGAUGGUGGACGCCAGUAAUCCCAGCUCCUUAGGAGGCAGAGGCAGGAGAAUCACUUGAACCCGGGAGGCAGAGGUUGCAGUCAGCUGAGGUUGAACCAUUGCACUCCAACCUGGGUGACAGAGUGAGACUCUGUCUCAAAAAAAAAAAAGACUUGAUAAAUGAAUAAAAAUUAGCUGGGCGUGGUGGCGGUAGGCGCCUAUAAUCCCAUCUACUUGAGAGGCUGAGGCAGGAGAAUCACUUGAACCCAGUGGGAGGCAGAGGUUGCAGUGAGCUGAGAUUGCGCCACUGCACUCCAGCCUGGACAACAGAGCGAGACUCCGUCUCAAAAAGCAAACAAAACAGUCUUGACAAAUGAAUGAAUGAAUGAAUGAAUGAGGCAGCAGGUCCAGAACGGGAAGAACUGUGCUGAGCAGGAGCAUCUCAGAGGCUCUGCCUGGGGUCCCAGCUCCUAGAGGGAGAGGAGGCAGGGUUGAGGAAAGAAAGAGGGAGGGAGGAGGGGAGGAUGGCGUUGAGCACGUCUGGAGGCUCAGACGCUCCAGACUGGGAGGAACCGCCCCCAGCCCAGCCGGAAAAGUAGGGGAAAGGUCGAAAUGAGUCUGCACGGUGGGGGUGGGGGCGGGCCCAGAGUGACCAGGAAGACGCUUUCCGGCCCCUCAGGCAUCUCCCCUUUCCCCUACUUUCCUCCCAUCCAGUAAGGAUGGGCACGCGGCCAAACCACCAGUGUGGCUUCCAUGAAUGCCAGCUGUUCGCCUUCCCAGCUCUGAACUUUCUCCUACUUGGCGGGCCUGAGCCAAGAGUCUGGGAGUCCCGAACCCACAGAACCCCUGCCCCCUUCCACCGCAUUUCCCAGCCAGGACUUGUGCCUUCCCCCGUCACCCUCCAGAAGCCCCUCAUCCUGGGAUGGUGGCUUUGGGAGGGUGGACAGGACCCUGACCACGCUGAGAUGCUAGCCUGGCGGGGUUGGGGGCGGGCAGCACGGAGGUGGGAAGGAGCGGGAGCUUGGGGAGGAGAGAACCCUCAGGUCUACAGUGCUGGAAGCCUGCCACUGACCCUAGGGUGUGAGAGGGGGAUCCAAACUUUCACCCAGUUGGCUGUGGACAGCCACAGAUGCAGGGAAGGAUGAGGACCACAGAGAAACCGUGUGGGGCCGUGAACUUAGAGAACCGCGAGUCUGCAUCGGACACACGUGGACAUGCUGUGGUUCGAGAUGAACGGAGAUUUGGGAAUAAAGCACCUACAACUUGUGGUGGCAGCAAAAGCCCACUUUCUGCGGUGGGGAGGGGGCCGGCGGGGGCGGGGAGGGAGGAGGAGAACAAGAGAGGAAGGAGGAAGAGGGGUCAGGGACCUGGAGCAUUGGAUUUGUAAGAUACAAGAGUGUUUCUGGUCUGGGAGCUGGGGGUUCCCAGCCCUAAUUCCCACAUACCCCAAGACAUUGUGGAGGGCCCAAAUCUACAAACACUACUACCUGGCACCCCCUCCUCCAUGACACCCUCCCCUAGAAGGUUCUAACCUUCAGGAUGGCACCCCGAACCCCAUUUCUACCUUCUCCAGCACCCCUGCAGCUCAAGUCCCUCAAGACCUCUUUCUCCACCUCUGUUCCAAUCAGUGAUCAGCAGGGCUUCAGGGACAGCCCACUGGCUUGCAGAGGAGAAGGGUUGGGUGGCCUGGCUGGGCCAGGUCAGGGCUGAGGAAGGAGGUGCUCCCAUCAGCUUUGACCCAGAGACUGGUGAGCCCUCAGGGACUCCAGGCCAGGACAUCUUCUCCUUAAGGUGGACCUGACAAGGAGAGGACCAGCAAUGGCAAGUGGCGGGGUAGGGGUGGCCACCGGAGAGCAUCGAGGGGCAGACACUCACGGUGCAGGCGGCUGACAUUGUGAGCCGGGUCAACUGGCUGGGCCAUCUCGGGCAGCCUCUUUCUUCGGGCAGGCUUGGCCACCUCAUGGUCUAGGUGCUUGUGGUCCAGGAGGCCAAACUAGGAUGGGACGGGAGGAGGGUGUCAGGUCCUGCCUGGCCCCACGUCCCCAGCCACACGUCCAGUUCUCACCACCUCCCUCUCAACCUGGGGUCCAGCUAUCAGAGGGACCUUUUCUCCCUUGAUCCUAGGGUUACCUGGCUUUGCAGAUGCUGAAUUCGCAGGUGCUGCUUCUCCAGGUGCCGCUGCUGCUGGGCCACCUUGUGGAAGAGUUGCUGGAUCCUGCUGUUCUGAGCCUUGAGUUGUGUCUGGGGAGGGGUGAAAACCUUGGUGAGGACCCAGCUUGCCUACCCCAACCUCUUAAUUCAUCCACUCAUCCAUCCUUCCAAAUCUCCAUCCGCUGAGGCCAGGCAAGGGAGUCUUUCUUUUUUCUUUUUUUUCCCAAUGACGGGGUCUCGUUCUCUCGCCCAGGCUGGAGUGCAGUGGUGCUGUCACAGCUCACUGCAGCCUCCAACUCCUGGGGUCAGGCGAUCCUCCUGUUUUCAGCCUCCUGUGUAGCUGGGACUACAGUCAUGCAGCUCUAUGCCUGGCUUAUUUUUUAUUUUUUCAGACAGAGUCUCGCUCUGUCACCCAGGUUGGAGUGCAGUGGCGCAAUCUUGGCUCACUGCAACCUCUGCCUCCCAGACUCAAGUGAUUCUUGUGUCUCAGCCUCCCAAGUAGCUGCCACCACACCUGGCUAAUUUUUGUAUUUGUAUUUUAUUUUAUUUAUUAUUAUUAUUAUUUUGAGAUGGAGUCGAGCUCUGUCGCCCAGGCUGGAGUGCAAUGGCAUGAUCCCGGCUCACUGCAACCUCCGCCUCCCGGGUUCAAGAGGUUCUCCUGCCUCAGCCUCCCCAGUAGCUGGGAUUACAGGCGCCCACCACCACACCCAGCUAAUUUUUGUAUUUUUAGUAGAGACGGGGUUUCACUGUGUUGGUCAGGCUGGUCUUGAACUCCUGACCUCAGGUGAUCCACUGGCCUCGCCCUCCCAAAGUGCUGGGACUACAAGCGUGAGUCACCGCACCUGGCUUUAUUUUUAUUUUAUCGCUAUUAUUUUUUUGAGGAGUCUCACUCUGUUGCCCAGGCUGGAGUGCAGUGCUGCGAUCUCGGCUCACUGCAACCUCUGCCUCCCGGGUUCAAGAGAUUCUCCUGCCUCAGCCUCCCAAGUAGCUGGGAUUACAGGCAUGCACACCAUGCCAGGCUAAUUUUUUGUAUUUUUAGUAGAGACGAGGUUUCUCCAUGUUGGCCAGGCUAGUCUCGACAGCAGGUGGAGGCUCCGUGAGCCACUGCGCCCGGUCGUUUUUUAAUUUUAUAUUUAUUUUAUUUUAUUUUAUUUAUUUUGUGUGUGUGUGUGUGUGUGUGUAGAAGAGACGGGGGUCUCGCUAUUUUGCUUUAGGUGGUCUUGAAUUCCUGGCCUUGAGCGAACCUCCCUCCUCGGCUUCCUAAGGGGGGAGCCCAUCCCUUGACGCAGGGAAGCCCAGGGAGCCACAGUUGCGCACCCCGCCCCCACGCCCCACUCCUGUCCAUACCCUUCCAAGCCAGGAGAGCCACUAGGGGCGCGGAGAACCAGCCCUGGGGACACGUACCUGCAGGCUGUGAAGGACCUCAGGGUCCACCCGGCUCUCAGGGGCUAACGGGAGGUCGGUGGACCCCUCGGUUCCCUGACAGGCGGACCCGCACGCGCUCAGGCGCCGCUCCAGCGCGCUCAGCUGACUGCGGGUGCGCUCCGCGUGUUCGCGCAGCCCCUGGCCGAGCUGCAGGAGUCCGUGCGCCAGGACAUUCAUCUCGUCCCAGGACGCAAAGCGCGGCGACUUGGACUGCACGGGUCCGCCCUGAGCGCUCAGUAGCACGGCGGUGGCGGCGCAGAGCAUCAGGGCUGCCCCGGCCGUCGGAGCACCGCUCAUCCUCUUAGGUAGCCUGGGAGCGGGGAUUCGGGGACUCUCGGGGACGUUGGGGUUCCAGGUGCGAGGACUGGAGACGCGGAGGACCGGGGGUAAGACCCGCUUGGUUGCAGAAGCCGCUGGAAAGAAUCGGAUCACAGUCGUGUGAGGAUCCGCUCAGCUCGGCUUCUCCCCGCCGCGCCCGAGGACGGUUUUUAUAAGUUGGGUGCGGAGUGGGCGGAGGAGUCUUGGAGGCGGGGUGCGGGGAGUGCUGGGGGCAGGGCCUGUGGCCGGGGGUGGGGUCCUGUCCUCUGGAGGCCUGGUAGUCUGCGGGCUGGGGGAUGCCCUGGGGAUGCCAAACUGUGGCUCUCCCGCCCCCGCUCCAGGCUCAGGCAGGCCUUCCUCUACGAACCGUGGGAGACGUGACUCUUCUUUCCCCCACGGUGCCCGCCUCUAGUGUGAAAUUGCAAGCCCCCUAUUCCGCCCCCGCCUUACCCAGUGGCGGAGAGGGCGCACGCUUGAGGUCAAGACUUCCAGACCAGCCCGGCCAACAUCGUGAAACCCAGUCUCUACUAAAAAUACAAAAAAAAAUUAGCCGGGCUUGGUAGUGCGCGCCUGUAGUCCCAGCUACUCGGGAGGCUGAGGCAGUAGAAUCGCUUGAACCCGGGAGGUGGAGGUUGCAGUGCGCCGAGAUGGCGCCAUUGCGCUCCAGCCUGGGCGACAGAGCCAGAGUACGUCUCAAAAUGAAAGAAGAGAAAAGAAAAGAAAAGAAAGAAAAGAGAGAGAAAGAAGGAAAGAAGGAAGGAAGGACGGAAAAAGAAAAGAGAGAGAGGUAGGGAGGGAGGGAAGAAGGAGAGAGAGAGAGAAAAGAGAGAGAGAAAGGAAAGAGAGAAAGAGGAAGGAAGGAAGGAGGGAAAGAAAGGAAGAAGGAAAGAAAGGAAGGAAAAGAAAAAGAGCUGAGUUCAGCGGAGCCCGGAACUCACCAAAAGUCCUUGCCUUGCGGAGGCUUCGUGUGACCUCCAUCCCAAGACCAGGAGAGACUUUUCUGGGCUCGCAUGUUCCUUCCCGUGAAAGGGUUCGUCAUCGCAGCUGUGUUUAUGAGAUUCUUUGACUUCCAUUUCUCCCCUGAGCCCGAAAUUAUGAGUGCCUUAGCGGCAGGACUUGGAUCAGGGCCUCACCCCCAUAGCCUACCCUCUACCGCCAGGGUCUUUAAUGUCCUGAGCUUUGCCUAUAAUAAAGCAGGAACUUAGAGAACAGAAAGAGGAGACACAAGGAAGGGAGGAACCAGGGCGGUCGCCCAUGACUGUGGUCGCAGCUACUUGGGAGCCUGAGGUGGGAGGCUCACUUGAGCCCAGGAGGUAGAGGCUGCAGUGAGCCACAAUGGUGCCACUGCACUCCAGCCUGGGCAACAGAGUGAGAUCCUGUCUCUAAAAAAGAAAUAAAAUAAAAGUCUGUGGCCAGGCGCGGUGGCUCACGCCUGUAAUCCCAGCACUUUGGGAGGCCGGGUGGUGGGAGGGGGGGGGGGGCGGAUCACCUGAGGUCAGGGGUUCGAGAUCAGCCUGGCCAACAUGGUGAAACCUCGUCUCUACUAAAAAUAAAAAAUUAGCCGGGUGUGGUGGCACGUGCUUACAGCUACUCGGGAGACUGUGUCAGGAGAAUCGCUUGAACUCAGGAGACGGAGGUUGCAGUGAGCUGAGAUUGCACCACAGCACUCCAGCCUGGGUGACAGAGUGAGACUGUGUGUCAAAAAAAAAAAAAAAAGUUUCAGACAUGGAAGACCUUCCUCUUUCUCUCCCUCAUUCAUUCAUUCACUCAUGCACUGAACGAAGGUGCUGCUGCCCUCUAAGCCCAGCCCCUGUAUGUUUGAAGUUCUCAGGCAGGUGGAGAUACCCCAACAUUCUGAGCCUGGGGUAGGGAUAGAGUUGGGACAAAGGAAGUACUGAGUGAGGCUAAAGGGCUGGACCACAUUCAUUCCACAGGGCUAAGUGUUCAUUCAAACUUGCACCGAUCUCCUCUGCCUCUUCCCUACCCAUUCCCCUAUACCCUGUCAGGAAGGGGAGGCUGGCACAGAAAACCAGCCUGCCAGGAAGAACUCGGGGCAGGUUGGCUCAGAGCACUGGCAAGGAGAAGGGCAUUGACUCAGCAGGGCUCCAAGCCAGCUCAUUCUCUGGAAUCUGAAACUGCACACCCAAGGGCUGACGUGCAGGCUGCCACUCAUACACUUGGCCCCGUCAGCUGGGCCAGAUGCCAGGACAGCAAAUCCCUCCCAGCAGCAGUGGACAGGAAAGGGAGGGAGGAAAACCCCAGUGAGGAGUAGGUUCAGAUGGUCACCGUCUGGCCUGUCCACCCCCAAGCCCCCAGCCUCUCUCUGAGUAGGGACACAGCUAUCCCAGGCUAUCCCAGAAUGCAAGCUCCUCCUCUUCCCCACCUUCUUAAACUGAGAGAACUGAUCAAUUACUUCCCCAACCUGAUGACCUUUUCAUGAUCUGAUUUUCAGGGACUUCUUUGGAGCCAUGUGUCCCACAGCACAAAACACAUCACAGACCCAGGGUCUUAAGGGCACCUGCUGUGAGCAAUCUACAAAAGAGUCUAUACUGUCGCCUCAAGUUGGCUCUAGAUUUUAUUCUAAAAACUGCUCUUUAUUUUUUAUUUAUUUAUUUAUUUAUUUAUUUAUUUAUUUAUUUUUUGAGAAGGAGUCUCGCUCUGUCGCCCACGCUGGAGUGCAGUGGCGCAAUCUCGGCUCACUGCAAGCUCCACCUCCCGGGUUAGUGCCAUUCUCCUGCCUCAGCCU